This is a non-coding RNA of Mycena leptocephala, 88 nucleotides long. The record is from the annotation of a GenBank genome assembly. NCBI's taxonomy places the organism in Eukaryota, Fungi, Basidiomycota, Agaricomycetes, Agaricales, Mycenaceae.
UCGGGUGUGGUGCAUGGUGCACGGCGGCUUGCAAUCGUUUGGCGACGAAGCUGAGCCACAGACUGGGGCUCGACUCCCCGCACCUGAA